AACAUCGCGCACCUGCGGGAACCUGCGGAGGGAUCAUUAACGUGUUCGUUCGGCCGUUCGGGUCGGCCCUGCACCGACGGAGACGUCGUGCUGCGGGCUCCCGGGCGUGCCUUCCAAACCAAACCCCUGUGAACCUUUGGGAGGGUAGAGCCUUCAUCGGCGAAGCCGUCCCCUUUACAAACUCUCGUAUCUCAUAGAAUGACCGCGGACAUCGUCUGCCUAAACACAUAACAACUUUUA
This 240-nucleotide unclassified non-coding RNA is filed under the name soil metagenome. RNAcentral's name for it is "partial contains 5.8S ribosomal RNA, internal transcribed spacer 2, and large subunit ribosomal RNA". The record is from RNAcentral.